AUGCGGGCCCAGGGUGCAGUGGCUGCAAACUGCAGGCUCCCUGAUAGUAUAUGCAGCCUGUUGUCUGUACAGGUUGCCCUAAGGGACCUUGGAGACAGAC
Small nucleolar RNA from Bos grunniens (domestic yak), 100 nucleotides. Its record names the gene SNORA70. It matches the Rfam family "Small nucleolar RNA SNORA70". From Rfam's summary of the family: snoRNA U70 seems to be exclusive to mammals and is a member of the H/ACA class of snoRNA which contain H (ANANNA) and ACA box motifs. H/ACA box snoRNAs are involved in the conversion of uridines to pseudouridines (5-ribosyluracil) a constituent of structural RNAs (transfer, ribosomal, small nuclear, and small nucleolar). The record is from Ensembl. Lineage: Eukaryota; Metazoa; Chordata; Mammalia; Artiodactyla; Bovidae.